RNAcentral lists this ribosomal RNA (805 nucleotides) under uncultured Acidobacteriota bacterium. Its description in RNAcentral is "bacterial SSU rRNA". It matches the Rfam family "Bacterial small subunit ribosomal RNA", at positions 71 to 853 of the family's 1533-position model. Lineage: Bacteria; Pseudomonadati; Acidobacteriota. The record is from RNAcentral.
AAAGGGUAGCAAUACCUGAGUAAAGCGGCGAACGGGUGAGUAACACGUGGUUAACCUGCCUCGAUGUGGGGGAUACCCCGGGGAAACUCGGGAUAAUACCGCAUGAUGUCCUUCGGGUGACGGCCUGGGGGAGCAAAGCCGGGGAUCGUAAGACCUGGCGCAUUGAGAGGGGACCGCGGCCGAUUAGCUAGUUGGCGGGGUAAUGGCCCACCAAGGCGACGAUCGGUAGCCGGCCUGAGAGGGUGAACGGCCACACCGGAACUGAGACACGGUCCGGACUCCUACGGGAGGCAGCAGUGGGGAAUUUUGCGCAAUGGGCGAAAGCCUGACGCAGCAACGCCGCGUGGAGGAUGAAGGAUCUCUGAUUUGUAAACUCCUGUCGGCCGGGAAGAAUUGGCGGGGCGCUAAUCAGCUCCGUUUUGACUGUACCGGCAAAGGAAGCCCCGGCUAACUCCGUGCCAGCAGCCGCGGUAAUACGGAGGGGGCAAGCGUUACUCGGAAUUAUUGGGCGUAAAGGGCGCGUAGGCGGUCGUGCGCGUCGGAGGUGAAAUCCCCGGGCUUAACCCGGGAGCUGCCUCCGAUACGGCACGGCUUGAGUCCGGGAGAGGGGAGCAGAAUUCCCAGUGUAGCNGUGAAAUGCGUAGAUAUUGGGAGGAAUACCGGUGGCGAAGGCGGCUCCCUGGACCGGUACUGACGCUGAGGCGCGAAAGCGUGGGUAGCAAACAGGAUUAGAUACCCUGGUAGUCCACGCCGUAAACGAUGGGUGCUUGGUGUCGGGGGUAUCGACCCCUCCGGUGCCGAAGCU